UGACGACUUUGAGCAAUCAUGUUUGAUGGAAGAAAGCUAGAGGGUAUAAAAUGAGAAGGUCAUUAUUGUGAUGUUCCACCCGAACACCUAUGGCAAAGCACUUCUGGUUCUACUUACAAGUUCUGCUGGGAGCAUUUCAAUUUUCUGGCUCAUUGUCAGCCUCACAAUAAAGAAGCAGGACUGUACUUAUUGGAAUGAAAAUAGAUGAAAUGCAAUAAGGAAAUGUGAGCUUUUAUGGAGAGAUGGAGAGGACCAACCAUGUAAAUGCUGGAAACAAGAUCUAACCUGGAAUUCCUUCUGUUUAAGGCACAAUGACAGUAAACUUGGCUUAAGCCUCAUCCAAAGACCACAGCAACAGGCAGAAUUGCCUCCAUCAUGUCUUUGGUAUUACUAAAGUGUUUAAAGCCAAAAUUGCA
Molecule: non-coding RNA, 416 nt
Organism: Cyanistes caeruleus (blue tit)
Lineage: Eukaryota; Metazoa; Chordata; Aves; Passeriformes; Paridae
Source: RefSeq, a predicted model, not a curated record